GACGAACGCUGGCGGCGUGCCUAACACAUGCAAGUCGAACGGAAAGGCCUGCUUUCCCUUGUGGUUUGCGGGUACUCGAGUGGCGAACGGGUGAGUAACACGUGAGUGAUCUGCCCCCAACUUGGGUAUAAGCCUGGGAAACUGGGUCUAAUUCCCGAUAGGACUGCAGGGUGGUGCCUGUGGUGGAAAAUGAUUUUCUAGUGGUUGGGGAUGAGCUCGCGGCCUAUCAGCUUGUUGGUGGGGUAAUGGCCGACCAAGGCGGGGACGGGUAGCCGGCGUGUGAGGGGGGACGGCGACAUUGAGACUGGGAUCCGGCCCAGACUCCUACGGGAGGCAGCAGUUGGGAAUAUAGCACAAUGGGCGUAAGCCUGAUACAGCGACGCCGCGUGGAGGAUGACGGCCUUCGGGUUGUAAACUCCUUUCGACCGCGAGGAAGCCACCUGGUUGGAAGGGUGGUGACGGUAGUGGUAGAAGAAGCACCGGCUAACUACGUG
Molecule: ribosomal RNA, 494 nt
Filed under: uncultured bacterium
Lineage: Bacteria
Description: partial 16S ribosomal RNA
Rfam family: Bacterial small subunit ribosomal RNA
Source: RNAcentral